This 68-nucleotide transfer RNA is filed under the name Coenobita variabilis. RNAcentral's name for it is "tRNA-Met". Lineage: Eukaryota; Metazoa; Arthropoda; Malacostraca; Decapoda; Coenobitidae. The record is from RNAcentral.
AAAAAGAUAAGCUAAGAUUUAAGCUGGUGGGUUCAUACCUCACUUAUGGGCAUAUUUCCCUCUUUUUA